CUGCAGCCCGAGUGGUGAUCGAUUUUAUUGAGCCUAAAGCGUCCGUAGCCGGACUAGUAAACCCUUGGGAAAAUUGGGCAGCUUAACUGUCCAAAUUCCGAGGGGACUGCUAGUCUUGGGACCGGGAGAGGUCAGAGGUACUCCAGGGGUAGGGGCUAAAUCCUGUAAUCCUUGGGGGACCACCAGUGGCGAAGGCGUCUGACUAGAACGGAUCCGACGGUAAGGGACGAAACCCUGGGGCGCGAACCGGAUUAGAUACCCGAGUAGUCC
RNAcentral lists this ribosomal RNA (270 nucleotides) under uncultured archaeon. RNAcentral's name for it is "partial 16S ribosomal RNA". It matches the Rfam family "Archaeal small subunit ribosomal RNA", at positions 477 to 747 of the family's 1478-position model. The record is from RNAcentral.